This 271-nucleotide ribosomal RNA is filed under the name uncultured Ruminococcus sp. RNAcentral describes it as "partial 16S ribosomal RNA". It matches the Rfam family "Bacterial small subunit ribosomal RNA", at positions 70 to 339 of the family's 1533-position model. The record is from RNAcentral. Lineage: Bacteria; Bacillati; Bacillota; Clostridia; Eubacteriales; Oscillospiraceae.
AGAGAGAAGCUUGCUUUUCUCAAGUUAGUGGCGGACGGGUGAGUAACACGUGAGCAACCUGCCUUUGAGAGGGGGAUAGCUUCUGGAAACGGAUGGUAAUACCCCAUAACAUACAUUUAAGGCAUCUUAGAUGUAUCAAAAGAAAUUCGCUCAAAGAUGGGCUCGCGUCUGAUUAGAUAGUUGGUGAGGUAACGGCCCACCAAGUCGACGAUCAGUAGCCGGACUGAGAGGUUGAACGGCCACAUUGGGACUGAGAUACGGCCCAGACUCC